RNAcentral lists this transfer RNA (434 nucleotides) under Bartonella taylorii. RNAcentral describes it as "partial 16S-23S ribosomal RNA intergenic spacer". The stretch from base 326 to 398 matches the Rfam family "tRNA". Lineage: Bacteria; Pseudomonadati; Pseudomonadota; Alphaproteobacteria; Hyphomicrobiales; Bartonellaceae. The record is from RNAcentral.
AAGUCCUCCCAGGCCCACCAAUUUACCUAUCUAUUUGCCUUUAUCCGUUUAUUUGCCGAUUUAUCGGUCCAUUGAAUUUAAGUGUUGGUAGCAGUCUUUAUAAUGAUGAGAAAUCAUGCUUAUAAAAGAACUCCUUAUAAAAGGCUUGUUUUUAAAAUGUGACGCUUAUCCAUUUCGCUUAGGCGAGAGAAACUUCAAGCGGUUCAAAUGCAAAAGGCUUUAAAUUUUGUAAAACAAUUUGAAUUUUGCAAAACAAUUUAGAUUUUAAAGUGACCCAAGUUCGUGAUCUUAAAUUUAAAAGUUUCGAAUGCUUUAUCCUUUUUUGGGGGCCGUAGCUCAGCUGGGAGAGCACCUGCUUUGCAAGCAGGGGGUCGUCGGUUCGAUCCCGUCCGGCUCCACCAUUUAGAUCAUCAUCAUUGUUGUGAGAACACUCU